UCUGUAGGUUGUUGGUUAAGUCUAUGGUCAAAUUCCGAAGCUCAACUUCGGGCCGGCACUAGAAACUAAUCAACUUGAGUACGUUAGAGGCAGGGGGAAUUCCCAGUGUAGCGGUGAAAUGCGUAGAUAUUGGGAGGAACAUCAAUGGCGAAGGCACCCUGCUAGGCCGAUACUGACACUGAAAGACGAAAGCUAGGGGAGCAAAUG
Molecule: ribosomal RNA, 207 nt
Filed under: uncultured prasinophyte
Lineage: Eukaryota; Viridiplantae; Chlorophyta
Description: partial 16S ribosomal RNA
Rfam family: Bacterial small subunit ribosomal RNA
Source: RNAcentral